AUCAUAUAGAACUUAAUCGUGUAAAUUCACAUCUAAAGAUGAGAGAAAGAAUACUAAAUGUAAAGUGGUAUUAAACUUUGUGUUUCAUUGAAUAUCUUUUGAAAGUUGGAUUUCCAUCUAUAUUCAUCAGUAAAUCAUUUGUUUCUGAAAAUUAAUUGAAAAGGAUUCCAUCUGUCUUAGUAUCGAAAAUUUAUCUUGGAAUCUACUUAUGAGUUCUUAUUGGG
RNAcentral lists this long non-coding RNA (224 nucleotides) under Phoenix dactylifera (date palm). RNAcentral's name for it is "long non-coding RNA (PDAC_LNC008042)". The record is from RNAcentral. Lineage: Eukaryota; Viridiplantae; Streptophyta; Magnoliopsida; Arecales; Arecaceae.